Molecule: ribosomal RNA, 253 nt
Filed under: uncultured bacterium
Lineage: Bacteria
Description: partial 16S ribosomal RNA
Rfam family: Bacterial small subunit ribosomal RNA
Source: RNAcentral
UACGGAGGGAGCUAGCGUUGUUCGGAAUUACUGGGCGUAAAGCGCACGUAGGCGGCUUCUUAAGUCAGGGGUGAAAUCCUGGAGCUCAACUCCAGAACUGCCCUUGAUACUGAGGAGCUCGAGUCCGGAAGAGGUGAGUGGAACUGCGAGUGUAGAGGUGAAAUUCGUAGAUAUUCGCAAGAACACCAGUGGCGAAGGCGGCUCACUGGUCCGGUACUGACGCUGAGGUGCGAAAGCGUGGGGAGCAAACAGG